UACGGAACAGAGAGAUCUGUUAUUUUAAGACUGGGAGCUGACCCAGUAGUUUCUCACCUGCCUCCUGGCCCCUGGAGGACUCAGCUAGUAGUGGACUCAAAGCAGAUUUACUCACCACCACAAAAGAGCUGCUGGCACUGCUCCCAUUUCUCUGUACGUGGUCCCCAGAUCCUAGAGGAGAACUGGGUGACCUGAAGUUUCUACAUAACCGCCUGUUUCUUCGGAUCCUUUGGGCUCCCGGAGCAGUCUCUUGCUGGUUCCACUGACCUGCCAGGAUCCUGUCAGCGGUGGAGUGGCCACAAUGGAGGGGACAGAAGUUGCCCGAGGAGUUUAACUUUGUGAACGACGUGCUGGAUCAGGGGACACACAUGGACAAGGCGUGGGAGUGACAUGAGAAUCUCCGACACAGUGUGGUGUAUGUCAGAUACAGGCUGGGUGCUGCAAAUACUGAGAUCAGGUUUUUUGGUACUCCACAUGCCACAACCAUCAUCAACAUAAGGAAGACCACUGUUCCCAUUGUUGAAAAGUGUACAAAAUCAACAGCAGAAUGAAAUUCUGUACCAAA
Ornithorhynchus anatinus (platypus) is the source of this 565-nucleotide long non-coding RNA. RefSeq lists it as uncharacterized. The transcript is spliced from 3 exons. Lineage: Eukaryota; Metazoa; Chordata; Mammalia; Monotremata; Ornithorhynchidae. The record is from RefSeq and is a predicted model, not a curated record.